RNAcentral lists this long non-coding RNA (577 nucleotides) under Nilaparvata lugens (brown planthopper). RNAcentral describes it as "uncharacterized LOC120355602, transcript variant X1". The record is from RNAcentral. Lineage: Eukaryota; Metazoa; Arthropoda; Insecta; Hemiptera; Delphacidae.
UGGAUUGAGAGUAGAUUAAUCUCUAGUAUGAUGCAUUCAAUCUUUUUAAUUAUUACUUCUUCUACUUAACUCGUUCUUCUACUAAUACGUUUUUCUUUUUAGAAAUAAAAAUGCCAUUUAUGUCUGCCUGUCACCACAUAGAAAGCUUUCCGAAAGACACAAUUCCUUGGUGAACCUAUGGUACUGCAUCAUAAAAGCGGAAGAAGGAGGUGAAAUCAACUUGCCGACUGUUUAGCUGUGGUAAAAGCUAUCAAAUCCAUGAAUCCAGGAACCUAUUCAAUUCUCAAGAACAUCUCUGUCAUAAUGUGGUCGGACCCGUUCACCAAGGAAGGCACAUAGAAGACUGGCUUAUGAUGGCGAAAGACUUUUGAAGGCGGUUACCUUGAUUGGGAUCAUAUCUAUUAAACCUUCGAAUCCUGCACUCAAAAGUAAAUGUGAUACCAUUCAAAUGGAAUAAGAUUGAUUUGAAUUGGAAUUUGUUAUUCCUGUAUCAUAGUGCAUUUUUCUACUAGUUACCCUACGUAUUGUACAUUAUUGUAAUAAAGCACUAGCUGUUCAUAGUAGAAGUCUUUGAAAU